UACGUAGGGGGCUAGCGUUGUCCGGAAUCAUUGGGCGUAAAGCGCGUGUAGGCGGUUCGGUAAGUCCGCUGUGAAAGCCCGGGGCUCAACCCCGGGAGGCGGGUGGAUACUGCUGAGCUCGAGUCCGGAAGAGGCGAGUGGAAUUCCUGGUGUAGCGGUGAAAUGCGCAGAUAUCAGGAGGAACACCAAUGGCGAAGGCAGCUCGCUGGGACGGUACUGACGCUGAGGAGCGAAAGCGUGGGGAGCGAACAGG
Molecule: ribosomal RNA, 253 nt
Filed under: uncultured bacterium
Lineage: Bacteria
Description: partial 16S ribosomal RNA
Rfam family: Bacterial small subunit ribosomal RNA
Source: RNAcentral